Molecule: transfer RNA, 62 nt
Filed under: Hypsibius dujardini
Lineage: Eukaryota; Metazoa; Tardigrada; Eutardigrada; Parachela; Hypsibiidae
Description: transfer RNA-Arg
Source: RNAcentral
AAACUGAAAAACAAAAAUUUUGUAAAUAGUUUCGACCUAUUUUUUGACGUAAGUCUUUAGUU